Silurus meridionalis is the source of this 120-nucleotide long non-coding RNA. RefSeq lists it as uncharacterized. The record is from RefSeq and is a predicted model, not a curated record. NCBI's taxonomy places the organism in Eukaryota, Metazoa, Chordata, Actinopteri, Siluriformes, Siluridae. The transcript has 2 exons.
GUCUGAAGUGGUCAGUAUCUAUUAAAAGUGGUCCAAGAUUUGCAAGAAGCAGAGAGGAAGUGAAGCAAGAAGCAGAAGCAAAAGUGGGAGACGGAGAAGUGAUUCUUACAAACACAGAAA